AGAGUUUGAUCCUGGCUCAGGAUGAACGCUGGCGGCGUGCUUAGCACAUGCAAGUCGAACGCACCUUCGGGUGAGUGGCGGACGGGUGAGUAACGCGUGGGAAUCUGCCCUUAGGAGGGGGAUAACGGCUGGAAACGGCCGCUAAUACCCCAUAUGCCGAGAGGUGAAACGAAUUUCGCCUGAGGAUGAGCCCGCGUCUGAUUAGCUAGUUGGUGGGGUAAGAGCCCACCAAGGCGACGAUCAGUAGCUGGUCUGAGAGGAUGAUCAGCCACACUGGGACUGAGACACGGCCCAGACUCCUACGGGAGGCAGCAGUGGGGAAUUUUCCGCAAUGGGCGAAAGCCUGACGGAGCAACGCCGCGUGAGGGAUGAAGGCCUCUGGGCUGUAAACCUCUUUUCUCAAGGAAGAAGACAUGACGGUACUUGAGGAAUAAGCCACGGCUAAUCCCGUGCCAGCAGCCGCGGUAAUACGGGAGUGGCAAGCGUUAUCCGGAAUUAUUGGGCGUAAAGCGUCCGCAGGCGGCUCUGUAAGUCUGUUGUUAAAGCGUGGAGCUCAACUCCAUUUCAGCAAUGGAAACUACAGGGCUUGAGUGUGGUAGGGGCAGAGGGAAUUCCCGGUGUAGCGGUGAAAUGCGUAGAUAUCGGGAAGAACACCAGUGGCGAAGGCGCUCUGCUGGGCCAUAACUGACGCUCAUGGACGAAAGCCAGGGGAGCGAAAGGGAUUAGAUACCCCUGUAGUCCUGGCCGUAAACGAUGAACACUAGGUGUCGGGGGAAUCGACCCCCUCGGUGUCGUAGCCAACGCGUUAAGUGUUCCGCCUGGGGAGUACGCACGCAAGUGUGAAACUCAAAGGAAUUGACGGGGGCCCGCACAAGCGGUGGAGUAUGUGGUUUAAUUCGAUGCAACGCGAAGAACCUUACCAGGGUUUGACAUCCUGCGAAUCCCUUGGAAACUUGGGAGUGCCUUCGGGAGCGCAGAGACAGGUGGUGCAUGGCUGUCGUCAGCUCGUGUCGUGAGAUGUUGGGUUAAGUCCCGCAACGAGCGCAACCCACGUCUUUAGUUGCCAGCAUUCAGUUGGGCACUCUAAAGAGACCGCCGGUGAUAAACCGGAGGAAGGUGUGGAUGACGUCAAGUCAUCAUGCCCCUUACAUCCUGGGCUACACACGUACUACAAUGCUACGGACAGAGGGCAGCAAGCUCGCGGGAGUUAGCAAAUCCCAUAAACCGUGGCUCAGUUCAGAUCGUAGGCUGCAACUCGCCUACGUGAAGGAGGAAUCGCUAGUAAUCGCAGGUCAGCAUACUGCGGUGAAUACGUUCCCGGGCCUUGUACACACCGCCCGUCACACCAUGGAAGUUGGCCAUGCCCGAAG
Molecule: ribosomal RNA, 1370 nt
Filed under: metagenome
Description: bacterial SSU rRNA
Rfam family: Bacterial small subunit ribosomal RNA
Source: RNAcentral